Molecule: ribosomal RNA, 240 nt
Filed under: uncultured bacterium
Lineage: Bacteria
Description: partial 16S ribosomal RNA
Rfam family: Bacterial small subunit ribosomal RNA
Source: RNAcentral
UACGAAGGGUGCAAACGUUGCUCGGAAUUAUUGGGCGUAAAGCGCACGUAGGCGGCAUUGCAAGUCGGAUGUGAAAUCUUAUGGCUUAACCAUAAAAGUGCAUCCGAAACUGCAGUGCUUGAGUACUUAAGGAGGAUCGCGGAAUUCCCGGUGUAGAGGUGAAAUUCGUAGAUAUCGGAAGGAACACCGGUGGCGAAGGCGGUUCUCUGGGCAUUACCUGGACGCUGAGGAGCGAAAGUG